UACGGAGGGGGCUAGCGUUGUUCGGAAUUACUGGGCGUAAAGCGCGCGUAGGCGGCUUUGUAAGUUAGAGGUGAAAGCCCGGAGCUCAACUCCGGAAUUGCCUUUAAGACUGCAUCGCUAGAAUCAUGGGGAGGUGAGUGGAAUUCCGAGUGUAGAGGUGAAAUUCGUAGAUAUUAGGAAGAACACCGGUGGCGAAGGCGGCCCACUGGAUCGGCACUGACGCUGAGGUGCGAAAGCGUGGGGAGCAAACAGG
Molecule: ribosomal RNA, 253 nt
Filed under: uncultured bacterium
Lineage: Bacteria
Description: partial 16S ribosomal RNA
Rfam family: Bacterial small subunit ribosomal RNA
Source: RNAcentral